Mercenaria mercenaria is the source of this 2507-nucleotide long non-coding RNA. RefSeq lists it as uncharacterized. The record is from RefSeq and is a predicted model, not a curated record. Lineage: Eukaryota; Metazoa; Mollusca; Bivalvia; Venerida; Veneridae. The transcript has 4 exons.
CAUAUGUUAUUUUGUCUAACGGUAUAACAGCUGGUGAGUCACUGGUUUGUGUAAUUAUAUCUUAUCUUGUGAAUACAAAGUGGAUUUAACUAAACUUACAGAAACAUAUAAUUUCAAUAUGGAGGAAUAUGAAUAUUCUAAGGAUAAAAUGACACAAGAAGAAAGUAAAGAAACAGAUAGAACAAGUGUCAAACAUGAUGAACAUUUAGGUGAAAUGUCUAAAGCAGUAAUAUUAAAAAAUGUACUUCUUGUUUACGUAUUUACCGGAUUCUGUUCAGGAGUAACAGUCGUUGCGAUACUUUUGAUGAUCUCCUUUGUAACAAACAUACGCUCUGGGAUCAAUACAUCUUCUUCCAUCUGUAAGCAAUUCCGGAAAGUGGCUGUUCACUUGAUUACCUCAAAGGAACAACAGCUUCUAGUUGUAUCAUCAGUAUUUAGUGACCUGACAAAUGGUUUUGUCGUGGGAGACUUUACCAGUGAUCAGCCAUACAGCUGUCUUGUUAUAUAACCUUACUGCUAUGGAAUCCACUUCCAACUCAGUAUGCAGUAGUGUUUGUACUAGCUGCCAUGUCUGGCUUGGCGGGAGCAGCAAAUGAACCGGUUAUUUCAGCCCUGCAUAAUCUUUAUUUUGAUAAGACAAGAGAUAUCGCAUUGUCAAGUUACAGACUUCUAACCUCAUUAGGAUGGGCGCUAUCGUUUGGAUACAGUAGCUGGCUGUGUUCGCAAUUCAAGAUUUAUAUACUCAUUGGUGUAUUAGUGCUCUCCGUUUUAACUUUGAUAUCACUAUAUAAAACAUAAAAGAGACCUUAAACAACAUACAAAGGAAAAGGAUAAGGUUGGAGAAAAUUUGAUUGCACUUACGACAUAAGUGUGAAAUACUUCUUUUUACAACAGUACCGUUUGUGCUAUGUGUCGUAUUAUGCUUAAAUUCAGUGUUAUUAUAAAUAAACUCCGGUCCUAGCGUGUUGUACAGCUGAUCUAAGAAAAGAAUAUACUCGAUCGGGAAUAAUAUCCAAGACAUUUCUUGACUUUCUUAGAGAGACAUCUUCAUUUUUGGUAACUUUGCUCCAUCUGAUAUCAUGAUACAGUUUACAUGUUGUAGCCGCUACACAAUUAAACUGUCAAAUUAUGAAAUUUAAAUGUGUUUUACUUAUAUUUCUAAUUUGUCUGAUUGUAAUUUUGUAAUGAUAUUUGCCAUUGAUGGAUACUUGAAAUAUCGUCAGUGUAUGCAGGCCGAUUAUCGUUUAAAACAAUUCAAGUUUUUUUUCUAAUUUACAUAGUAUGCUUUUAUUUCUGUUUCAUUCUGGGUUUGUCACCGUUUUAGAACAGUUAACUAACCCAUAUUCCUUGAUUCUAGAGAACAUUGGUACAUAUGUUUAGUUUGUAAAUUUGUAGCGAAUCAAGUGUUGUUUAUAAACAUUUUCCCAGCAAUAAGAAACUGUGUAAUUAGCUUUUUUAUUAUUUUAUAAAUGUGACAGCUGUGCAUAAGAAAUUUAACAGAUUAUGUUAUAAGUUUGAGAAAUAGUGUCAGCUGUUUCUUUUGUUGCUAAUUAGAAUAUGCUUCUAAAAUAACCUAUAUAUUGCCUCAAAGUAUAAUGUUUGUUUUUGUUUUUAGGUCUGUCGAUUUGCUCUUCACAAUUUAAUAAUAAUGCAUAUUUUAAUCCUACUUUCGUUUAUUGUUCAAGCCCCUUUCAGAUAUUAUCAACAGUUGCACAUUAAGGGCAAAACUUUUUUCAGCAGUAUUGACUUAAAGACGUCAAAGUGAGAAGCAAUUAAAAUUAUUCAUUAUAUAUAUAAUAGUUAUAACGCCCUGUUAACAUACUGCUUGGUUUUUGGUAUACUGUCUGAUUGCAAAUUAACGCGCAUCGCUGAUUCAACUCGAUACAUAAGAUCGUUAUAUAAAAUAAAUUAAAAAGUAUUGAUAUUAAAUCUUGUGAAUAAUAAAAUAACAGUCAUUGAUUUAAGAUUAAUAACCUGGUGUGACCCAACACUUUCCAAUGGGACACCUUUUGUUGUCAUCCUAAGUACACAUUAACUGAGUUCAGCUCUGCGUCUAGUUUUACCUCUAGUAAUGACUUAUCCUAACUUCUUAAUAGAAGAGCGGAUCUCUACUACAGGGAUGACUGGUUACCAGCUUGCAAUGGUUGUGCAUAAUGAAAAUAGCAAAAGAGUUUUACUUAUUGUCAGGGCCGACAGUGAUUGAAAGGUUUCUUUAUUAUGAGUGUAAUUACAUUUAUAAUAAGUGUGACAGCCUACGCUUUCCUAAAGGUUUUCAGCUGAACUCGAGUAUGUUAAAUACAUCAUUGUCAUGCAAGGUAUUGAUUGACUUAUUGUCCGACGGUAAAGUUUAUUUCAUGAAACUUUGCUUUUAAGAUCAACUUUCUGUUUACAUGAGCUAUUGAAAGACAUGAUAUUUGGACAUUGACAUCUUUUGCUUUAUCAAUUUGUCGCUGGAACCUAAAGCAUGAUAGUGAAGAUGCUUAAAGCUUAAACAUGUCCUAUAUGAA